Astyanax mexicanus (Mexican tetra) is the source of this 770-nucleotide long non-coding RNA. RefSeq lists it as uncharacterized. NCBI's taxonomy places the organism in Eukaryota, Metazoa, Chordata, Actinopteri, Characiformes, Acestrorhamphidae. The transcript has 4 exons. The record is from RefSeq and is a predicted model, not a curated record.
ACUUUUGACUGGUACUGUACACAUCCAAACCAUCACUGAUUGUAGAAACUUCACACUGUGUCAAGCAGUUUGGACUGUGUGUCUCUCCACUCUUCCUCCAGACUCUGAUCCCUUGAUUUACAAAUGAAAUGUAAAAUUUACUGAAGAUCAGUGAUGGUUUGGAGAGACAUGUCAUCUGCUGGUGUUGAUCCACUGUGUUUUAUUAUCAAGUCUAAAGUCAGUGCAGUUUAGUUUUCCCACAAAAUCUUACAGCACUUCAUGCUUCUUCUCUUUGCUACUGACAACUUUUAUGGAGAUGCGGAUUUCAUUUUCCAGCAGGACUCUCUUAUCCAGAGCAACUUACAAGGUUAUUUCUAUUACAGAGUUGGGCCAAUGUAGUUUUAGGAGUCUUGCCCAAGGACACAGUAUAGUCACCCAGAGUGGGAAUUGAACCCCAGUCUUCCACAUGAUGUGGUUAUAAGCAGGCAGUGGUGUUAUCCACUGCGCCACACCAACCACCAUGUCAGCCUUGUAGAAGAUGCUGCUGCCGAUCUGCACCACCUCCAGGUUCUGCUCCUGCUCAUUCCGAGCACACUUGAUGUAGGUCAUCCAGCUGCGCUGGUCUUCUUGGCUGGCGUCGACGAAGCAGCGAACCGUUCCAUCCUCAUUAAACACCUGAGAGCAUCAGGAGAAACAUCACGGUCGACGUGUUCAGGAGAGACGAGGCGGCCGGUGAACGGACCCAUCUCAGUCCCGGCUUUAAUCCAGGCUUUAGAGAAGAUCCCCAGACC